This 215-nucleotide long non-coding RNA is filed under the name Panax ginseng (ginseng). RNAcentral describes it as "long non-coding RNA (PGIN_LNC009791)". Lineage: Eukaryota; Viridiplantae; Streptophyta; Magnoliopsida; Apiales; Araliaceae. The record is from RNAcentral.
UUACUCUUACUACUACUACUACUACGGUCACUCUGUUGGACUGUUGGUAUUGUCCCUCUGUUUCCUCUCGUAUAAGAGAAAGCAAAGCGGAACAUUUCCAAACAGAAUUUUCAGAACUACCUUUUCUUAAUACUCUCUUUCCAUUCCAAUUUUCCUUUCCUAUUUUCAUUUCCUUCCCAUUCCUUCUUUAUAUAAUAUAUAUAUAGAGAGAGAGG